This 253-nucleotide ribosomal RNA is filed under the name uncultured bacterium. RNAcentral's name for it is "partial 16S ribosomal RNA". It matches the Rfam family "Bacterial small subunit ribosomal RNA", at positions 524 to 776 of the family's 1533-position model. The record is from RNAcentral.
UACGUAGGGCGCAAGCGUUAUCCGGAAUUAUUGGGCGUAAAGGGCGCGUAGGCGGCCCGCUAAGUCGAACGUGAAAUCCCCGGGCUUAACCCGGGAACUGCGUCCGAUACUGGCAGGCUUGAAUCCGGGAGAGGGAUGUGGAAUUCCAGGUGUAGCGGUGAAAUGCGUAGAUAUCUGGAGGAACACCGGUGGCGAAGGCGGCAUCCUGGACCGGUAUUGACGCUGAGGCGCGAAAGCGAGGGGAGCAAACGGG